CGAGUAAGUCAGAUAGCCGCGUCACUUUAUAUAAGUGAUGAGGAAAGUCCGAGCUCCAUAGGGCAGGGUGCUGGGUAAUACCCAGUGGAGGCGACUCCAAGGAUAGUGCAACAGAAAUAUACCGCCAGUUUUUACUGGUAAGGGUGGAAAGGUGAGGUAAGAGCUCACCAGAGGCUAGGCGACUAGUCUGCUAUGUAAACCCCACCUGGAGCAAGACCAAGUAGGGACUAAAAAAGGUGGUUGCCCGCUGCCGUCCCGUUGGUAGGUCGCAUGAGCCUGCUGGCAACAGUAGGCCUAGAUAGAUGGCUAUCUAAUACAGAACUCGGCUUAUAGACUUGCUCGUAUA
Non-coding RNA from Caminicella sporogenes DSM 14501, 346 nucleotides. It matches the Rfam family "Bacterial RNase P class A". Rfam says of the family: Ribonuclease P (RNase P) is a ubiquitous endoribonuclease, found in archaea, bacteria and eukarya as well as chloroplasts and mitochondria. The record is from Rfam. NCBI's taxonomy places the organism in Bacteria, Bacillati, Bacillota, Clostridia, Peptostreptococcales, Caminicellaceae.